UACGUAGGGGGCUAGCGUUGUCCGGAAUCAUUGGGCGUAAAGAGCGUGUAGGCGGCCCGGUAAGUCCGCUGUAAAAGUCAAAGGCUCAACCUUUGAAUGUCAGUGGAUACUGCCGGGCUAGAGUCCGGAAGAGGCGAGUGGAACUCCUGGUGUAGCGGUGGAAUGCGCAGAUAUCAGGAGGAACACCGGUGGCGAAGGCGGUUCUCUGGGCCUUACCUGACACUGAGGAGCGAAAGCGUGGGGAGCGAACAGG
RNAcentral lists this ribosomal RNA (253 nucleotides) under uncultured bacterium. Its description in RNAcentral is "partial 16S ribosomal RNA". It matches the Rfam family "Bacterial small subunit ribosomal RNA", at positions 524 to 776 of the family's 1533-position model. The record is from RNAcentral.